RNAcentral lists this ribosomal RNA (101 nucleotides) under Erinaceus europaeus (western European hedgehog). The record is from RNAcentral. Lineage: Eukaryota; Metazoa; Chordata; Mammalia; Eulipotyphla; Erinaceidae.
GUCUACGGCCAUACCACCCUGAACACUCCUGAUCUAAUCUCAUCUUAGAAGCUAAAUAGGGUCAGGUCUGGUUAGUACUUGGAUGGAAGAAACAGUUUUCU